UACGAAGGGGGCUAGCGUUGCUCGGAAUCACUGGGCGUAAAGCGCACGUAGGCGGAUCUUUAAGUCAGGGGUGAAAUCCUGGAGCUCAACUCCAGAACUGCCCUUGAUACUGGGGAUCUUGGGUCCGGAAGAGGUGAGUGGAACUCCGAGUGUAGAGGUGAAAUUCGUAGAUAUUCGGAAGAACACCAGUGGCGAAGGCGGCUCACUGGUCCGGCACUGACGCUGAGGUGCGAAAGCGUGGGGAGCAAACAGG
Molecule: ribosomal RNA, 253 nt
Filed under: uncultured bacterium
Lineage: Bacteria
Description: partial 16S ribosomal RNA
Rfam family: Bacterial small subunit ribosomal RNA
Source: RNAcentral